RNAcentral lists this ribosomal RNA (405 nucleotides) under uncultured bacterium. RNAcentral's name for it is "bacterial SSU rRNA". It matches the Rfam family "Bacterial small subunit ribosomal RNA", at positions 356 to 775 of the family's 1533-position model. The record is from RNAcentral.
UGGGAAUAUUGGGCAAUGGGCGCAAGCCUGACCCAGCAACGCCGCGUGAGGGAAGAAGGUCUUCGGAUUGUAAACCUCUGUCCUUGGGGACGAAAAAAAUGACGGUACCCAAGGAGGAAGCUCCGGCUAACUACGUGCCAGCAGCCGCGGUAAUACGUAGGGAGCGAGCGUUGUCCGGAAUUACUGGGCGUAAAGGGUGCGUAGGCGGCAUGGCAAGUCAGAUGUGAAAUCCCCGGGCUUAACUCGGGGGGUGCAUUUGAAACUGCUGUGCUUGAGUGCAGGAGAGGAAAGCGGAAUUCCUAGUGUAGCGGUGAAAUGCGUAGAUAUUAGGAGGAACACCAGUGGCGAAGGCGGCUUUCUAGACUGUAACUGACGCUGAGGCACGAAAGCGUGGGGAGCAAACAG